AGAUUGAACGCUGGCGGCAGGCCUAACACAUGCAAGUCGAGCGGUAGAGAGGUGCUUGCAUCUCUUGAGAGCGGCGGACGGGUGAGUAAUGCCUAGGAAUCUGCCUAGUGGUGGGGGAUAACGUUCGGAAACGGACGCUAAUACCGCAUACGUCCUACGGGAGAAAGCGGGGGACCUUCGGGCCUCGCGCCAUUAGAUGAGCCUAGGUCGGAUUAGCUAGUUGGUGAGGUAAUGGCUCACCAAGGCGACGAUCCGUAACUGGUCUGAGAGGAUGAUCAGUCACACUGGAACUGAGACACGGUCCAGACUCCUACGGGAGCAGCAGUGGGGAAUGUU
This 336-nucleotide ribosomal RNA is filed under the name uncultured soil bacterium. RNAcentral describes it as "bacterial SSU rRNA". It matches the Rfam family "Bacterial small subunit ribosomal RNA", at positions 26 to 365 of the family's 1533-position model. The record is from RNAcentral.